This 253-nucleotide ribosomal RNA is filed under the name uncultured bacterium. RNAcentral's name for it is "partial 16S ribosomal RNA". It matches the Rfam family "Bacterial small subunit ribosomal RNA", at positions 524 to 776 of the family's 1533-position model. The record is from RNAcentral.
UACGAAGGGUGCAAGCGUUAAUCGGAAUUACUGGGCGUAAAGCGCGCGUAGGUGGUUCGUUAAGUUAGGAGUGAAAGCCCCGGGCUCAACCUGGGAAUUGCUUCUAAAACUGGAGAACUAGAGUAUGGUAGAGGGUGGUGGAAUUUCCUGUGUAGCGGUGAAAUGCGUAGAUAUAGGAAGGAACAUCAGUGGCGAAGGCAACCACCUGGACUAAUACUGACACUGAGGUGCGAAAGCGUGGGGAGCAAACAGG